Parus major (Great Tit) is the source of this 1195-nucleotide long non-coding RNA. RefSeq lists it as uncharacterized. Lineage: Eukaryota; Metazoa; Chordata; Aves; Passeriformes; Paridae. The record is from RefSeq and is a predicted model, not a curated record. The transcript has 3 exons.
AAAAUGUCAUCCCAUUUAGUAGGUUGGUCUUCACAGGGUAAUUGUCUCAAUUUCACAUGGAUGCAAUGGUUGACCAGUCCGUCUCCUUAGUAACCUCUGGAAACUCUUGCUGGAAUGCCAAAGCUUUUGGGAAGCUGUCAGAGCUGUUAGUGCUUCAUCUGGAAACCUUCAGAGGAUCACUUUUGGGAUGAAUGGGAGAAGAUGUCAGGCCAUGAUCACCAGGAAGACAAAAAUGUGACCAAUACAGUGCAGACAUUCUGAUGUCAUCAGGUAUUUUUAAAUAUUGAUGAAGAUUUCCUAAAAAUGGAGCAUGGCACGAAACAGCUGGGUUAUUUCUGCUGUUGAGGAGCUUUCAUGGUUAAAACCCCCUCUGAAUCUUUCCAAGAGACAUCUCAGCAUCAUGACUCUGAUACAGCACUUUGGAUUUGCUACACCAAUUGACUGCAAAGAAAGAAAUGUCAAACUCUCACAUAAGUGUCCUUUUUCUGACAAGCUCUCCCUCUUUUGAACUACAAUGACGAGGACAACAUUGUUUUACUUUGCCACAGACGUUCCCCUAAAGUUUUUUGAAGGCCUCAGAGGUUCGGUGGAAUUUGACAAGAGGUAUUUGGGCUUUUGUGUUUGCCUUUAAUUGCUGUGCCCCGGGGUGGAUGCCACUGCUGCUGCUGCUGCUGGAGCAGAGGGCGCAGGACUGCUUAUCUCAACUCGCAGGACUGGGACAGCACACAGCCUGCAGAAGAUUGCAUGCUCAGAGCAAAGAUUUUGUUUCAAAAUGUUUGUCUAACUCCUAUGCCUGGCAGCUUAAAGAGCUGCUGCUCUUCUACACGGCAAAUAAGUGCUUUUAUUUCUAUAUUACAGGCUAGCUCUGGAAAUACAUAGAAAUAAAACUUUAUUGGUCUGUUGGCAACGGUUACACUGUGUCACAGUUUGGGUUAAAACCUUAGGUAUUUCUGUCAGCUCUCCAAUAACAAACAAACUUCAUCGGCCUGCUCAGACACUGCAGAUUUGGCUCUGCCAGGCUUAAUUUCAGGAUGAGCAUUUGGUUGUAAGUUUCUUUAGGUGUGCAGACCUUCAAAGACUAUGGACAAGCUCAAAUAUUCACAAGGCCCACUAACUUCAACUGCAACAGUGGUGAACCCAUUAAUCAGACUUUUAUAGCAGUGAUAUAACCUUCUAUGUGUACAGCUCUGUUAAA